UCCUACGGGAGGCAGCAGUGGGGAAUCUUGGACAAUGGGGGCAACCCUGAUCCAGCCAUGCCGCGUGUGUGAAGAAGGCCUUCGGGUUGUAAAGCACUUUCAGCAGGGAGGAAGGCUUACCCCUAAUACGGGUGAGUACUUGACGUUACCUGCAGAAGAAGCACCGGCUAAUUUCGUGCCAGCAGCCGCGGUAAUACGAAAGGUGCAAGCGUUAAUCGGAAUUACUGGGCGUAAAGCGCGCGUAGGUGGCUUGAUAAGCCGGUUGUGAAAGCCCCAGGCUCAACCUGGGAACGGCAUCCGGAACUGUCAAGCUAGAGUGCAGGAAAGGAAGGUAUAAUUCCCGGUGUAGCGGUGAAAUGCGUAAAGAUCAGGAAGAAUACCCUUGGCGAAGGCCGCCUUUUCUGGAUCUCACUGACAUCUAAAGUUGCGCUAGCUU
Molecule: ribosomal RNA, 436 nt
Filed under: uncultured bacterium
Lineage: Bacteria
Description: bacterial SSU rRNA
Rfam family: Bacterial small subunit ribosomal RNA
Source: RNAcentral